Molecule: ribosomal RNA, 429 nt
Filed under: Chloroflexota bacterium
Lineage: Bacteria; Bacillati; Chloroflexota
Description: Chloroflexi bacterium partial 16S ribosomal RNA
Rfam family: Bacterial small subunit ribosomal RNA
Source: RNAcentral
UUGGGAAUUUUGCACAAUGGGCGCAAGCCUGAUGCAGCCAUGCCGCGUGUGUGAAGAAGGCCUUCGGGUUGUAAAGCACUUUCAGCGGGGAGGAAGGCGUUAAGGUUAAUAACCUUGGCGAUUGACGUUACCCGCAGAAGAAGCACCGGCUAACUCCGUGCCAGCAGCCGCGGUAAUACGGAGGGUGCAAGCGUUAAUCGGAAUUACUGGGCGUAAAGCGCACGCAGGCGGUCUGUCAAGUCGGAUGUGAAAUCCCCGGGCUCAACCUGGGAACUGCGUUCGAAACUGGCAGGCUAGAGUAUUGUAGAGGGGGGUGGAAUUCCAGGUGUAGCGGUGAAAUGCGUAGAGAUCUGGAGGAAUACCGGUGGCGAAGGCGGCCCCCUGGACAAAGACUGACGCUCAGGUGCGAAAGCGUGGGGAGCAAACAGG